AUUGAACGCUGGCGGCAUGCCUUACACAUGCAAGUCGAACGGCAGCACGGGUGCUUGCACCUGGUGGCGAGUGGCGAACGGGUGAGUAAUACAUCGGAACAUGUCCUGUAGUGGGGGAUAGGCGGGGGAAAGCGGGAUUAAUACCGAAUACGAUCUAGGGAUGCAAGCGGGGGACGUUCGGGCUUGGCGCUAUGGGGUUGGCCGAGGGGGGUUUAGCUAGUUGGUGGGGUAAAGGCCUACCAAUGCGACGAUCAGUAGCUGGUCUGAGGGGACGACCAGCCACACUGGGACUGAGACACGGCCCAGACUCCUACGGGAGGCAGCAGUGGGGAAUUUUGGACAAUGGGCGAAAGCCUGAUCCAGCAAUGCCGCGUGUGUGAAGAAGGCCUUCGGGUUGUAAAGCACUUUUGUCCGGAAAGAAAUCCUUGGCCCUAAUACGGUCGGGGGAUGACGGUACCGGAAGAAUAAGCACCGGCUAACUACGUG
RNAcentral lists this ribosomal RNA (486 nucleotides) under uncultured bacterium. RNAcentral's name for it is "partial 16S ribosomal RNA". It matches the Rfam family "Bacterial small subunit ribosomal RNA", at positions 29 to 507 of the family's 1533-position model. The record is from RNAcentral.